This 835-nucleotide long non-coding RNA is filed under the name Fukomys damarensis (Damara mole-rat). RNAcentral's name for it is "lncRNA (ENSFDAG00000023556.1)". Lineage: Eukaryota; Metazoa; Chordata; Mammalia; Rodentia; Bathyergidae. The record is from RNAcentral.
CUUUGUCCUCUGCCGCUCAGUAUCCAUGUUACUCCAACAAAACUGCUACUCUUCAUGCAAGCUGAUUAGUGAGGCACUGGUAUUUGCUUCCUCCCUGAAUUUCCUGUUUUCCUGGAUGUGAGAUCUCUGAAGUGCAUCUUUAGAAAAUAUUCACUCAUCAAAGUCUGCUAGAAAAGGACAAUUUGCAGAGGGCUGGUUCCUACUGCUUGCUAAAAUGAUAAGCCAUGUUCCAACCUAUUUCAUCUACAUAGACUGAAGUUCAGUUCCAUUCCCUUCACUUUCAGGCACCUCUUACAUAGCAGGAGGUAUUCAGCCACUGCCAAAGUCAAUAUAUUAAGUGGAGUUGUUGAAGGCAGCUGGUUUCCCAUACAACCAUAUGUCCCCAUUUCCUAUUGUAGCCAGUUUCUGAUUCAGUGGUAGGAAAUGCCAAGAGCGUUGGCAGCAAUGGUCUUUUCCACUUAUAAUAGAAUUUCUUUGAUGUACUUUCCAUUUUUCUCAGGGUGUUUCUGUUGUGUAAUCAGAUCAGGCUGGCUCUACAUCAAGGUACUCAUUGGGAUGAGAACUCCGAGAGGCAUCACUGAAGUAGACUACAAAGAGGCUGGACUGUCCACGACCCCAGACGUGCCAAAUGCAGCCAAAUUAAACAUGGCGGCGAAUCUCGAGCAGCAAAACGGCGACGACGCCGUUUAAGUCAUGCCUGAGAUGGAGCGACGCGGCGCGGCCAGGAGGGGCAAAUCUCGCGAUAUCGCGACCGCCGUGCUCCCUCCGGAAGCCCCGUCGGAGUCUGGUGAGAGCCAGCGCAGGCGUCGUCCUGCCGUCGCGUGCGUAAGCAGGG